This 245-nucleotide ribosomal RNA is filed under the name uncultured bacterium. RNAcentral describes it as "partial 16S ribosomal RNA". It matches the Rfam family "Bacterial small subunit ribosomal RNA", at positions 524 to 768 of the family's 1533-position model. The record is from RNAcentral.
UACGUAGGGUGCAAGCGUUGUCCGGAAUUAUUGGGCGUAAAGAGCUCGUAGGCGGUCUGUCGCGUCGGCUGUGAAAACUCGGGGCUCAACCCCGAGCCUGCAGUCGAUACGGGCAGACUAGAGUGCAGUAGGGGAGACUGGAAUUCCUGGUGUAGCGGUGAAAUGCGCAGAUAUCAGGAGGAACACCGGUGGCGAAGGCGGGUCUCUGGGCUGUAACUGACGCUGAGGAGCGAAAGCGUGGGGAG